GUUAUAUAUACAAAUAAUCAAGGGAACGAAUAGGUUAGGUCCAUGCUGAGGUUGAAGGAUCGGGACGGCUAAUCAUCAAGAAAUCUGGGUGAAAUCGGGGAGCUGACUACGUGUCUAAGUUGGGCAGUAUUAGAAGAAGGGUUGGCAUAAUCGACGUAGAAAAUAGUAUUGGAUAUAAGAUUAAGCGUAGUUUUGAAAGCAACUGUGGAUAUCUCUAUCGAUUCUCCAAUGCGGGAACUAUCACCAACAUCAGCAAGGAGUUGUUCUACUUUGUUACGCCGCAGGUGUUGGUUAGCGUCAAGUUUCUGAGUAGCGAAAAUGUGCAAGUUGCAGAUUUUCCUAAGAUUUCUCCAUGUGGUUGAAACAGGCAUCCAAGCUAUUCCGGCUUCGUGGUGUUGAAGGGUACGAAGGGCAUCGGGAACGGUUCGAUUACAAGAUAUUGCGUCAUGCGUUUAGAGGAUUUCUUUGGCCAUGGUUUCAGAUGACAAAACUAUAGUAGUUGUUUGGCCAAAUUUCAGAGUCAUGAUGUCCCAAUGAACCUUUGCAAGUUCUGUAAGGGUCCUAUGGGGUUUACCACCAAGCUGGAAGAGGUUUCCGAAUAUUGGAAUUGCAGGAGGACCAGGUGGAAGCCUGUUGGUCCCCCCCAAUUUCCUGUAGACUUGGAACAAGACCAAGAGCAAAACAAGGCACACUAACCAACUGAAAGUAUCCAUCCUUCGUUGUGGAAACCUAAUCCGUAAGGAAAAGGUUACACUAAUUUUUAAAAUUGUAACUGCAUUCUUUUAUCUAAAGUGAAGUCAUUUUAUGUUAUAGCAA
Long non-coding RNA from Gossypium raimondii (Peruvian cotton), 816 nucleotides. RefSeq lists it as uncharacterized. NCBI's taxonomy places the organism in Eukaryota, Viridiplantae, Streptophyta, Magnoliopsida, Malvales, Malvaceae. The transcript has 2 exons. The record is from RefSeq and is a predicted model, not a curated record.